CCCUACCUUUAAAUGUCGUACGGACGCCGAAAAAGCUCACUAAUAUUAGUAAUUACUAUCGGUCGACACGCGCGUUCCUGUCUCGGUAACGAGAGAAAGACAGAGUGAGGUAGCUCAGGGUUUGGCAACAAGCUCUAAGGAG
Molecule: non-coding RNA, 142 nt
Filed under: unclassified sequences
Description: lysM-TM7 RNA
Rfam family: lysM-TM7 RNA
Source: RNAcentral